CCCCGCCCCGCGCACCUGCCCGGGCCCGGCAGCGCCGGCAGCGCGGCCCACCGGUACCGAGCGCCGCUCGCACCGACACCGGGAGGCAAUGGGAAUUCCAGUGGCGAUGGGGACGGCAGGAGCAGGGUGAGAGAGCAAACAAGCCAGGGGAGCUCUGAGGCACGUCCAAUCCUUCGAAUCCAGCACCCGCCCACAGUUGCGAUCCACUAUCUGCACGCUUUUCCUUGUGUUAAGGAGCUGGCGACUUCCGGGAGGGGGGAGAUCUCUGUGACCUGCCCUUCGACAGAGCAAUCAGGAGGAACCCUCAUCGUGACUUGCCAAAGCCUUGCAGUGCAUGAGGAUGAGGAGGGAAGUUUGGCCAGUGUGAGCACUGACAGUAAAUACUUUGGGGUGAUGCUCCAAGGAGCUGUGAAGGGUGCAGUGAAAGGACUGAGCUCCACGUGCAAGGAGCCAAGCAAACCUGACAGCUUCACAUGCUCAAAAACCGUGCAUGUCUAAAAGAUGAAGUAAAAUGUUGUAAAGAUCACAAGCCUUUUCCUACAGUUAUUUGUACCAGCAAAUCACUGUUGCAAAUGGAAAAUGAGUUUCUGUGGCGCCUGUGACCAGAAAAUUGCCCCUUUGAGAAUCCAUGAGCAAUGGUUCAGCAUGCAUGCUGAGAAGAUUAGGAUCAACAGAUUAUUCCAACAGAGCAUGUCAGUCAGUCUAAAACACGCAAUGGAUGAAAUUACCUCCACAACUGAAGACAAGGAAGAAAAAUACCCACUGCUGUGGACCCCAAAGAAAGUGAAGUAUACACAAAAGUAAACACACCCAGUGCAUGUUGGGGAAAGCAAAGACACCACAUAAGGAUGUACAUUUCUUCAGGGCUACAAGAUCAAACAUGACAAUUGUGGUAAUUUGUCUUCCUGGCCAGCACAUGACCCCACGGUAGUACACAGACUCAGCAUCAUGAUCCUCAAAUAGUUCAUCAUUUUUGGCUGAACUAAAGUGCAUCCUUGAAAAAGAUCUAGUCUUUUUUAGCAAAAGAGACAAAAAUGGUGACACAAAGUCAAAUCAUAAGCAUACAUAACUGAUUUACUCUCUCCCUGACACUGGCCAACACUGUCUGCCUAGAAAAAGAAUCACAAAAAUAGGGUAGACGAAGAGUGCUCCCUCCCUGGCAGCUCCCUAGCUCUUACAGAUUUGUAAUUCAGAGACCUGCUGUGCCAGAGAUUUUGGCUUGUGUUUAGCAGCCUUUGAUAGAUUUCUCUUUUGCAAAUUUCAUCCCCUAUAUAGUCAUGAAAUUUAAGGCCAUGAAGGAUUUAUUCCUGAAGGACUUACAUUUGACAAGUAAUUUCACACUUGCCUCCAAUGUGUCUCUUGGUUACACAAACCAAAUAAAUUGUAGCACACUGGAAAAGUUACCACUUUCCACUAGCUACUCACUUUCAGCACUGAAAGGACAUGCCUGUUUUCCUUUGGAAAGGAAAGUUAGUCUGUGGCAGUCAUGCCUUACCCCUGGACAACUAAAGAAUGCUUUAGUAUCCAGUGUUUUCAUUUAGUACAUGUACUCAGACACCCUAAUUAGAUCACUCACAACCUUCUAAGAGUUCACAGAAUCAUAGGAAGGUUUGGGUUGGGAGAGACUUUUAAAGGCCAUCUAGCCCUACCCUGCCAUGGACAGGGACACCUCCAACUCAUAGUAAGGUGAAUAAGGUCACUCCAAGUCCCAUUCAACCUGGCCUUGGAGACUUCCAUGGAUGAGGUUCUUUGCACAACCUGCACCAGUGCUUUUCCAGCCUCAUUUUAAAAAUGGUCUCUCUUGCAUCUAGUCUGCAUCUACCCUCUUUUAGUUUAAAACAAAUAAACCAAAUUUAAGUCCAUUACCCCUUGUCUUACAACUAUGAGAGUUCUGCAUCUCACAUUGUAAAAUACUUCUUACAGUCUUCAGACAAGUUUUGUGAACCUCAAAUGUUACUCUUCUUUUCCCUGUUUCCUAGAAGCUUUAAAACUAGCUGUGUGCUAUGCCACCAGGGCCCUUCUUGCUGUCUCACAUCAACAGCAUCUGUUUCCCCAAGAUUGUCUACCUGUAAAGAUUUAUUAUUUCAUGUCCUAAAUCUAUACAGGGCUGGGACAGAGCCUGGAUUUUAGAGUCUAAAACAGUGGGUCCAAGAAAAAUGAAGCCGCUUGCACUUUAAUACACUCAAUUUCUUUAGACUUACUCUUUUUUAACAUGCAGUCCUCUGGAGGAGUGAUACACCAUCUUCCGCAUGCACAAAAGUGCAUUUGACUGUUCUAACACACAAGUCUGUGUGAAGAACCUUGCUCUGCUACACACUCUUCUUCACUAUUAUCUUCUCUUCAUGACUUUUUUGCAUAUUUUUAUGUAAUCUGCCAAUUUUAUUUGUAGAGAUCUUAUAUUUGUUUCCAAAUAAUCAAUUAAGUGUCAAACAACACUGGGUAGAGAACUCUCCCUCAGGUAAAAACCAGAAUUCCCAGCUUAUGGAUUGGGCAGUUUGCUGGCAGUAUUUCCUGCCUUUCCUUUCCCAUGGAGCUGGAUUGUAAAAACUAGAAGAAUCAGCUUCCAGCUUCCCUCAGCCUUCUCCCAAGAUACAAGAUGCUCUCAAGAAUUUAAGUUCUGUGUAGUGCUGCAUCAUCACCUGACAUGCCCUGACACAGGCAGGGACUUGCCAACAAGUUGGCAACAACAUUCCUGGCUUUUGGGUUACAUCCAUCAAAUCUCACUAUCCAGUUUCCCAUUAAUCUUUUUCUUCUCUAAUGAGAACUCUCUAAUUAUUCUUGCUUGCCCUGUGUCAUUUCAAACCCUCUCCUUUAGCAGCUUGUUUUACAUCCCAGACAUCCCCACCUGUCACAUCCCCUGCAGCUCUCUGUCAGCAAUUCCCGACAGCCAGUUCCUGCAUCUCCCCCAGAUCAAUGCUCAGCUCUGGCAUGACACCCACUCUGUCCCUGUGCAGAUCUGCUGCUUACUCAGCUUCUUGCAGCACCCAGUGUCCACAGACACUGCCAGUGCUUCCAGAUGUGACGUAGAACAAUGACCCAAGGAAUUCUUUGGAUAUUACACUGUACUGAAACCAGCAAUUACAAGCUCUGCAUCCUUGCUGACACGAGGAUGUUAUUUUUCAUGCCGUGGUACCUGAUCCCACCUGGCUGCAUCCCAAGGAGUCGUGAACCUGAGCUCACACUGGCCUGUGCUGCCCACAGGGCAACAGUCAGACCUAGGUUUGCUGCACAAAUCCCUUGCCCACCAGUCCCAGCCAGCUCACCAUACAGAAAUGUGGGCAGCUCUUGGUCUUGUCCAGCCAUUCUGCCACUCACAUGGCCUGGCUUUUGUCUAACAGUGAGGCACGAAUUUCCAAUGCAAACAUCCUUUCUGUCUGACAGCAGCAAUGAUGAAUGGAGUUGUUUUCUUGCACUCUUAUCAUGGCUCUAAUGGCAAAAAAAGGGAGAACCAGCACUGCAGGUGGUGUCUGCAGGGCAUGCUGGGUGUGGAUCAGAGGCCCACUUGGGGUUCCUCACAUCUAAAUGAUAUGAGAUGAUGUACACUAUUCUAUCGUGUUAGUUCUAACACUUUAUAUUUUAAAUUGCACCCUACACAGCCUGAGUCUCUUUCCUACUUGGAUCAUAUUGUGCAGAACAACCUGCAUAAUAAAUAAUAAAUGGUUUCCCAGGUAAUUGCCCUUGUCCUCAUUCUGUGAACAUGUGCUUAGGUGUUGUAUAUAAGUAAAGCUUUAAAAAACAAGGGCCUUGUUAACCCUGUAAAAUCAUGUCUCAGGCCUGCUACUUUGGCUAAGUAGAAGAGGACUAUAGGAAAGUGACUCAUCUGAACUGGAGAUAGAAAAACAAGUUGUAUAACCAUUACAUGUUCACAUCAUGGUGUAACGGUGGUUAGUUGAAUUACAUUUGUUAGGCUAAAAUGGACUGUAACUGAUCAGAGCCUAACUGCUUAAAAAGGCCUGUUUUUUGCAAUAAAGGGCUCUCCUUUGCACUGGGGACUGCAUUGCUCUGCUUCGUACAUUUAGCAAUAAACACACAUCCCCACAAGGCAUGAGGGAUCUGUGUUCUUCCCAUGUAAGUGUAACUGAGACAUGCCUUACUUGUUAAAUAAGCAAAUCUGGGAUUUCUAUCCAAGUUGAACCAAUGUUCCUGACUUUGAAUACUUCUUGUAAGCUUUUCUAAGUUUAGGCCUCUCUUUUGAUGCCAACACCAGACCUUCAGCUUGCUCACCUCAUGAGAUGAAUGUAGCAAAUACAACCUCUCUCCUUCAGCAGUGACGAACAGGGUCAGUCACUCUUGCCGGCUUAUCACAUAAAUUCACAAGUUCAUAUCAGGGUUUUGGGCUUUGAUUUCUGGGAUGUUGGCUAGAGAGAUGAUGCU
This is a long non-coding RNA of Prinia subflava (tawny-flanked prinia), 4374 nucleotides long. RefSeq lists it as uncharacterized. The record is from RefSeq and is a predicted model, not a curated record. The transcript is spliced from 4 exons. Lineage: Eukaryota; Metazoa; Chordata; Aves; Passeriformes; Cisticolidae.